Molecule: ribosomal RNA, 1081 nt
Filed under: uncultured Rhizaria
Lineage: Eukaryota
Description: SSU rRNA
Rfam family: Eukaryotic small subunit ribosomal RNA
Source: RNAcentral
CGGUAAUUCCAGCUCCAAUAGCGUAUACUAAAGUUGUUGCAGUUAAAAAGCCCGUAGUUGGAUUUCUGCGGGGACGGAGCGGCCGGUCGCAACUUGCGACUCGAGCUAGCGCUUUCCCCGCAUCCUGCCGCGAACCGUGCUACCAUUAGCUUGGUGGCGCUGGGGAUCGGCUCGAUUACUUUGAGAAAAAUAGAGUGUUCAAAGCAGGCCACACGCCUUGAAUAAGUUAGCAUGGAAUAAUGACUAAGGACUUCGGUUCUAUUUUGUUGGUGUUCGGGACUGAAGUAAUGAUUGAUAGGGACAGUUGGGGCGGUCUGUAUUCCAAAGCGAGAGGUGAAAUUCUUAGACCUUCGGAAGACAAACAGCUGCGAAAGCGUUCCGCAAGGAUGUUCCCUUUGAUCAAGAACGAAAGUUGGGGGAUCGAAGACGAUCAGAUACCGUCGUAGUCUCAACUAUAAACUAUACCAGCUAGGGAUCGGUCAACGUUUAAUCAUUCGACUUGAUCGGCACCUUAUGAGAAAUCAAAGCAUCUGGGUUCCGGGGGGAGUAUGGUCGCAAGGCUGAAACUUAAAGGAAUUGACGGAAGGGCACCACCAGCCGUGGAGCCUGUGGCUUAAUUUGACUCAACACGGGAAAACUUACCAGGUCCAGACAUAGUAAGGAUUGACAGAUUGAUAGCUCUUUCUUGAUUCUGUGGGUGGUGGUGCAUGGCCGUUCUUAGUUGGUGGAGUGAUUUGUCUGGUUAAUUCCGUUAACGAACGAGACCCCAGCCUGCUAAAUAGCGCGGCUGAGCUUUGCUCGGUGCGAGCUUCUUAGAGGGACUAUGAUGCGCGAUAGCACAUGGAAGUUUGGGGCAAUAACAGGUCUGUGAUGCCCUUAGAUGUUCUGGGCCGCACACGGGCUACACUGGCGCCUGCAACGAGCAUAUCAGCUGGCCCGAGAGGGUCUUGGCUAAUCUUUCGAACCGGCGCCGUGCUUGGGAUUGACCAUUGCAAUUGUUGGUCAUGCAACGAGGAAUGCCUUGUAAACGCGAGUCAUCAGCUCGCAUUGAAUACGUCCCUGCCCUUUGUACACACCGCCC